Micropterus dolomieu (smallmouth bass) is the source of this 654-nucleotide long non-coding RNA. RefSeq lists it as uncharacterized. NCBI's taxonomy places the organism in Eukaryota, Metazoa, Chordata, Actinopteri, Centrarchiformes, Centrarchidae. The transcript has 3 exons. The record is from RefSeq and is a predicted model, not a curated record.
GUCGUGAUAAUAAAACAAAAAAAAUCUCUCGGGUUGAUAAAUAGGGCUAACUACCACAGUCUUAUCAGUCGGCAGGCAGAGAGAAAAAAAGACCUCAGUAACCACGGCAACCGCAGCACACAUUGUGGUCAAUGCGGUCUGAACACACACACACGUUGGACUCAAGACAUUUCCAGUUCAUUAAGACGCUAAAUUACAAAAGAAGUCAUUAUUCAGUGACAGGUUUUUCUCAGAAAGACAGUAACAGGCACAGAGCGCUCUCUGCUUCUAUUGGUCGACAUCUUACACCUUGUCGUGAAAGUGCCGACUCAGUAACUGCAGAGUUCCAAACCUCCUCUGGCAUUCACAUCAACGCAAAACCCCGUGUGCCGUGAGCUUCAUGGCCGAGCAGCUGCAUGCAAGCCUUCCGUCACCAAGCACAAUGCCAACCUUAGUGGCCGACUCACAAAUGCUCUUCUGGAUUAAUGGGCAAAAUGUCCAACAGACAAACUCCAACAUCUUGUAGAAAGCUUUCCCAAAGGAGGACUAACUCCAUAGUAAUGCCUAUGGAUUAUCCAAUAGGAUGUCAGAAAAGCCCUGCUGUGAGCUGGAAGUAGAGAGUCGACCGGCUGCAGCUGCUCAUUCACAUGCAAACAGCAGCUCCUUUCUGAUCUG